UUGGAUUGAAGGGAGCUC
RNAcentral lists this non-coding RNA (18 nucleotides) under Arabidopsis thaliana (thale cress). Lineage: Eukaryota; Viridiplantae; Streptophyta; Magnoliopsida; Brassicales; Brassicaceae. The record is from RNAcentral.